This 176-nucleotide small RNA is filed under the name Streptomyces sp. RNAcentral describes it as "c-di-AMP sequence". It matches the Rfam family "c-di-AMP riboswitch aptamer (ydaO/yuaA leader)". From Rfam's summary of the family: This family represents a conserved RNA structure found upstream of the ydaO and yuaA genes in Bacillus subtilis and related genes in other bacteria. The ydaO/yuaA element is thought to act as a genetic "off" switch for the ydaO and yuaA genes in its native state. The record is from RNAcentral. Lineage: Bacteria; Bacillati; Actinomycetota; Actinomycetes; Kitasatosporales; Streptomycetaceae.
CGUGCGCCGUCGCCGAAUCCCGCACGAGUCACAACUGCAGCAACGGCAACACCUAGGGAACCGGGGAACCACCACCUUGGGGUGAAUCGGGCCAACUUCCGCGAGGAAGCGGCCCGUAGGAGACCUUCCUGCUCCGAACCCGUCAGCUAACCCGGUAGGCGAGAAGGAAGGAAAGG